RNAcentral lists this ribosomal RNA (633 nucleotides) under Flavobacterium sp. So2Ps_829. RNAcentral's name for it is "bacterial SSU rRNA". It matches the Rfam family "Bacterial small subunit ribosomal RNA", at positions 376 to 1011 of the family's 1533-position model. The record is from RNAcentral. Lineage: Bacteria; Pseudomonadati; Bacteroidota; Flavobacteriia; Flavobacteriales; Flavobacteriaceae.
CGCAGUCUGAUCCAGCCAUGCCGCGUGCAGGAUGACGGUCCUAUGGAUUGUAAACUGCUUUUGUACGAAAAAAAACAACAUUACGUGUAAUGUCUUGACGGUAUCGUAAGAAUAAGGAUCGGCUAACUCCGUGCCAGCAGCCGCGGUAAUACGGAGGAUCCAAGCGUUAUCCGGAAUCAUUGGGUUUAAAGGGUCCGUAUGCGGUUUAGUAAGUCAGUGGUGAAAGCCCAUCGCUCAACGGUGGAACGGCCAUUGAUACUGCUGAACUUGAAUUAUUAGGAAGUAACUAGAAUAUGUAGUGUAGCGGUGAAAUGCUUAGAGAUUACAUGGAAUACCAAUUGCGAAGGCAGGUUACUACUAAUGGAUUGACGCUGAUGGACGAAAGCGUGGGUAGCGAACAGGAUUAGAUACCCUGGUAGUCCACGCCGUAGACGAUGGAUACUAGCUGUUGGGGGCAACUUCAGUGGCUAAGCGAAAGUGAUAAGUAUCCCACCUGGGGAGUACGUUCGCAAGAAUGAAACUCAGAGGAAUUGACGGGGGCCCGCACAAGCGGUGGAGCAUGUGGUUUAAUUCGAUGAUACGCGAGGAACCUUACCAAGGCUUAAAUGUAGAUUGACCGAUUUGGAAACAGAU